CUUGUUAAAAUGCAGGCUCUGAUUCAGCAGGUCUGGGCUGGGGCCUAAGAUUCUGCAUUUCUAACAAGUCC
This 71-nucleotide microRNA precursor is filed under the name Pteropus vampyrus (large flying fox). RNAcentral's name for it is "miRNA (ENSPVAG00000029101.1)". Lineage: Eukaryota; Metazoa; Chordata; Mammalia; Chiroptera; Pteropodidae. The record is from RNAcentral.